GCUAAGGGUCAGCAGCAACACACUGCACUCCUGACUCCUGCUCUGAUACUUGCCUCACUGGAACCGUCAUCCCCUCUCAUGUGGCAAAUGCAGCUGGGUGACAAAACUGAGGCUCAGAGGCCAAUGGCCUUGUUCAAGGUCACACGCCCACUAAAUGAGAGACCCGGAGACCUGGCAUCACACGCUAACUAAGAAUACUGGAAGGAGAUAAGAUUGGGACUGAAAGACCUGGAUUGAAUGAUUUUUAUCAAGUCACUUCCCUUCCUUGGAUCUCCAUUUACUCAUCAAUAAACUAAGCAGAUUGGAUUAAAUGUUCUGUAAGGUGCCUUCUAGGUGAGGAAGAAGUUGGGAUAAGUCAUAAGGAAGCACCCCAAUGAACAUCUCCUGCCUCUAUGGUUUUUCUGACAUCCAUCAACAUCUGUCAGAAUUUGAAAAUGUGACUGCUUUUAGGCACUGUGCUUAGUGCUGGAGAUUCCGUGUUGAAGCUCACAGUCUGGGGCAGAGAUGGAAACAGACACAAAUAACUAUAAUACAAUGUGGUAAGUGCUGUAAUAUAGGUACUGUAUGCUCAGAGUGCUACGGGAACUCAGGAGGGAGCUUAUGAAAUAAUUUAGUUAAUGUUCCAAUGUCUAAAUGUGAAUGUUUAAAUAACGUCUUUCUUUCCUCAGUGCUUCCUGCUUUGCAUGGCAUUUUUUACUGUUUUUUAUCUUAUUUGCUGAUUCUAGCGAUCCCGUUAAUAAGUUUUCACUCCACAAACUCACCCUUAUACAGAGUAGGUGCUCAAGAAACAUCUCCCAAAAGACAGAAUAAGUGAAUGGAUAGUCGAUGUUAUUAGCUUUUGUUGACAAUUAG
RNAcentral lists this long non-coding RNA (852 nucleotides) under Homo sapiens (human). RNAcentral's name for it is "HSALNT0365052". The record is from RNAcentral. Lineage: Eukaryota; Metazoa; Chordata; Mammalia; Primates; Hominidae.